Molecule: ribosomal RNA, 393 nt
Filed under: uncultured bacterium
Lineage: Bacteria
Description: partial 16S ribosomal RNA
Rfam family: Bacterial small subunit ribosomal RNA
Source: RNAcentral
AUACGGAGGAUGGGAGCGUUAUCCGGAUUUAUUGGGUUUAAAGGGUGCGUAGGCUGUGCGUUAAGUCAGGGGUGAAAUGCCGUCGCUCAACGACGGAGCUGCCCUUGAUACUGGCGUGCUGGAGUACGGAUGCCGUUGGAGGAAUGAGUGGUGUAGCGGUGAAAUGCUUAGAUAUCACUCAGAACACCGAUUGCGAAGGCAUCUGACGAAUCCGUCACUGACGCUGAGGCACGAAAGCGUGGGGAUAGAACAGGAUUAGAUACCCUGGUAUUCCACGCCGUAAACGAUGAUGACUAACCGUCGGCGAUAGACAGCCGGUGGCCAAGCGAAAGCGAUAAGUCAUCCACCUGGGGAGUACGUCGGCAACGAUGAAACUCAAAGGAAUUGACGGGG